CAGGGGAGUUUGUAAGGCACAGAAAAGAACUUGCAAACUGAGAACAUAACACAGGUGGUUGAGAUUUUGCAGGGAUUGGGAGCUAGAUUAUUAAAUGCACUUGGCACAUCUCUGUACCUGCCUAGAGGGAUUUUCCAAAGCAACAUGAAGUAACAGAAACAUGCCAUUCUUUUUACCUAAGUUUGGAUGUCUGAUCAGCUAACUAACUAGUCUCUCUCUGGAAAGAGAUAAGAACUUCCAGAUUUCAUUGCAUGGAAAGAUAGGUGCAUGAGACAAAGUGGGUUGGAAUUCAUUUCAUUGUAUGAAGAAAGAAAGACAAAAUUAAUUUGAGGAAACCCCUGCUUGUAUUUCUACCAUUAAGACAAAAAUGUGGAAUUGUGUAAUUCGGAGAUGAUGGGAAGACUACAGUUGUCAAAACACAUUUUUUUCUGCUAGAUGGUGGUUAUCUUUUUCCUAGUGGCUUCUGACCCUGGCCUCCUGUCCUACUCAUACUGAUUAUCAGCCAGAUGCUUACUGCCAUGCCUACUAUCUAUGAGUAGACCUAGUUGAAGAAAAAUACAAAUCCAGGCAAAGGUUGGCAUACAUGUCAAGAGAACAUUCUCCAGCUGGGGCCUGCAGUAUAGAGAAUUGUAUACUCCAGAGGGCUCAUGGGACCUUGGGCAGAUUAUUAUGGUAAUAUUGGAGACUGCUGUCCUUUCCCUCCCACAGCUGGGCCGCCUCUCUCAUUAAACAUUAACAUAGAAGUCAGAUAAAGAUUUGUAUGGCAUCAUUGAAAAUAUGAUUUCUACUUACAAAAUAAAGAGAAAUUACCAUGGAAUGAUGUGGUGACUUUGACUUUUUCAUCUCUCAUGGAAUCAGAGGUACCUAACUGAUUAGCAUUCCAGAAGCUGGAGGUACACAAAUGGUCCUACAUACUUGACAGCGGAUGUCGAGAUGGCAUCACCAUCAAAAUUUGAAGAGAUCUUAUAUAUAACUUCUGUGAGCCAUUACAUAUUGCAUUCAUCAGUUCAUUAAGGCUCAGGAACCAAUGUAAAUGGGUGGUUAUGGCAGAACCAUUGUUCUGGGACUAGAUUAUCUUUCCUGUCCAUAUUAGCUUUGUGAUCAAUUUAGGGUUUGUUUUUUUUUUUUUCCAUUUCCAACUCUGUUACACUCAAAAAAAGGUGAUGAGAAACUUGAAAGCCACUCACCC
This 1189-nucleotide long non-coding RNA is filed under the name Phasianus colchicus (ring-necked pheasant). Its description in RNAcentral is "lncRNA (ENSPCLG00000000178.1)". The record is from RNAcentral. Lineage: Eukaryota; Metazoa; Chordata; Aves; Galliformes; Phasianidae.